CCUACGUGAGGCAGCAGUGAGGAAUAUUGGUCAAUGGGCGAGAGUCUGAACCAGCCAAGUAGCGUGAAGGAUGACUGCACUAUGGGUUGUACACUUCUUUUAUAUGGGAAUAAAAUGUUCCACGUGUGGGAUUUUGUAUGUACCAUAUGGAUAAGGAUCGGCGAACUCCGUGCCAUCAGCCGCGGUAAUACGGAGGAUCCGAGCGUUAGCCGGAUUUAUUGGGGUUCAAGGGAGCGUAGGUGGAUUGUUAAGUCAGUUGUGAAAGUUUGCGGCUCAACCGUAAAAUUGCAGUUGAAACUGGCAGUCUUGAGUACAGUAGAGGUGGGCGGAAUUCGUGGUGUAGCGGUGAAAUGCUUAGAUAUCACGAAGAACUCCGAUUGUGAAGGCAGUUCACUGGACUGCAACUGACACUGAGGCUCGAAAGUGGGGGUAUCAAACAGGAUUAGAUACCCGAGUAGUC
This 460-nucleotide ribosomal RNA is filed under the name uncultured bacterium. RNAcentral describes it as "partial 16S ribosomal RNA". It matches the Rfam family "Bacterial small subunit ribosomal RNA", at positions 338 to 795 of the family's 1533-position model. The record is from RNAcentral.